This 69-nucleotide small RNA is filed under the name Paenibacillus sp. P22. RNAcentral's name for it is "Pseudomonas sRNA P10". Lineage: Bacteria; Bacillati; Bacillota; Bacilli; Caryophanales; Paenibacillaceae. The record is from RNAcentral.
CUUGUACGACCAGCUUGCCGUUGAUGACUUGGUUGGCAUAAGCGUGAUCGUCGCCGGCUACGAUGACGU